This 213-nucleotide unclassified non-coding RNA is filed under the name Hevea brasiliensis (rubber tree). Lineage: Eukaryota; Viridiplantae; Streptophyta; Magnoliopsida; Malpighiales; Euphorbiaceae. The record is from RNAcentral.
GAGUUGGUGGCAGCUUGGAUCGCAGGCGUUGGUGGCUGGAAUCGGCCCGACUUCUCUCUCUUUCUCUCUUCUUUUUCCUUCCCUUUCUUCUCUCUCUUUCUCUUCCUCCCUGCCGCCUGCUGCUGUGGCUGCCGCCGCCUGACGUCGUCCAGAGGUGGGGGAGUGCUACCAGCGCUGGUGCUGGCCGGCCGGCUGGAAAACGAGAGGGAGAAG